AAAAUAAAUAAAUAAACAUGUUAAAUCUGCCAAAUAGUUCAGAUAAUUUAUUUAAUAUAAACUUAUAUCAUUCAUAUUUUAUACUUUUUCCAUUAUAUCAUCAUUCAUACUUUCUCAAGCAAAUAUCACAACUCCAUUAUUUCCUCAUAUAUCUAAAUAUACUUUGUAAUAGGUUAUAGAUAAAUUCUUAAAUACCAUACCCCAUGCACCACGUUCAACUAUAGAUAGAUUUUUAGGUAUACUUGAUUAAUACCCUUACCAAGGUUGAGUAACAUAUUUAAGGGUAUAUUUAGUAGUUGAUAAGUGGUGGUGAACAAGUUGGGUUUGGAACCCCACAAGAAGUAGAGAUCCUUCUAGCACCGGGAGAGCUAAUAUACUGCUUUAGGUUAGGGUCUUUAAGGUACCCACAUAAGCAUGGUAUUUGUUCCCUUAUCUUCUGGCAACAAAUGCUUGGAGGUGGAAGAUUUCUAGUGAUUGCUUGAAAACAAGGGCUUAACUCCUCUGGGAUACAAUUAACAGCAUCAACUUUGAAGGACAAUUCCAUAAGAAGCAGUAACACUAGCACCAUUCCACACACAACAUAGACCUUCUUCAUCAUUGUUCUUUGUCUUUGGCUUUUGUGACUACACACAACACAAGUGUUUGUGUAAUAACUCAGUGUAGGGAUGAGUUGAAAGUGAGAUUCUGAGUCAGUUUAUAUAAGCUGAGGGUAGAGGGUUUGAUUUGGUGUUCAAUAAAUGAUCAAAUUGUUUAUUGAUUGAUGCAUUAAAGGCUAAGGCCCCACAAAGACUUUGAAAUUGAGCUGUAAUUGUUUUGCAAUAACUUCACUCAUAUAUCAUGGCAAUAGCAUUGAGUGUGUUAUAAUUGGCAAUUUAGUACUCAUAUACUAUCUAUACUACUAUAUAAAGGUAAAACAUAUUUAAGGGGUAUUUAGGUAAUUAAAUAAACAUAAUUUUUGUGUUCUUAUUGUGUUUUUACUACUAUUAAUUAUUUCCAUGUUUGCAAUUUUAUCCAUUUGUAGCAUCUCAUUAAUAACUAUAAUAAACUUCCACAUGUUUUUUUAUUCUUUUCCAUCGAUGCAUCACUAUUAUUCUAUACAUUCUUCUACUUCUAUUCUCUCUCUUAAUCACCCUAAGAAGAAAAACUUUUACCAGAACGAGAAACAUCCAAUAACACAUUUAUUGAAAAUUUAUGUACACACUUGAUACCAGAAAAGCAAGAAUGUGAGUCGAAAGACACAUUGUAUCGAUCAACACAUUAGACCAUAUAAAUUACAAAAGAAUUGUAUUCACUAAGUGUAUGAGUUUUAUACAAUGUCAUCAUCUUAUCUAGUAUCUACCAUUCAUAAUUAAACAUAAUUUACUAAGCAAUGGAUUAUAUAUCAAAUAUGUAUAAAUUUCUAGUAUGAUGGUAUAUAUAUAUAUUCUAUAAAUUAAUUAUGAUGUUGCAUAUCCUCCUUAAUGAAAAAUACAUGGCCUUCCCAAAAUGUUUCUUUACAAAGUAAAUAAAAAAUAAAAAAAUACAUAAAAUUAAAUUAAAUUAAAACACUCAUCUAAUAGUUUAUUUUUUACAGAAAAAUGUAUAUACUGACUGUAUAUGAUUUUUAUAGACUGUCAACAUAUCAUUCACCUUUUAUAUUUUAUUAUCUUUGAUUUUUUUUUUUAAAUUACAAACGAAUGAUAGAUGAUAUAAUAAUUGCGUAUAAGUCUUUACAUUAACACUGCAUAAAUAUUACAAGUUAAUACAUCAUCUACCAUUCAUGUUUAAUCAUAAUUGACUCUUUAAAAAGGUAAUAAAAAAGGAAUAGUGAAUGAUGUAUUGAGCGUGUAUAAAUAUUUACAACGAUAAUGCAUAAAUAAUACACUUAUGAAAUUAAUGUUUUUCUCUCUCUCUCAAUACAAUCAUAAUUGAAAUGUGAAAUUUUUAAUUCUUACUAUUUACUAUUGUGAAGUUUUUAAUUCUUAUCAUUUACUAUUGUGGAAUUUUUAAUUCUUAUCGUUUACUACUUUAACUUUAAUCUGAGGCAGUAUAUUUAACACAUUUUUAUAUCUUUAUGGACCAAAAAUGUAUUUCUUAAUUUGAGCAAUACUAUCACUAACAAAACAUGAGACACUUUUUAAUUUCCCUCCACAAAAAAUGAAAAAUAUUCAAUUUGAAUAUUUAACAAUUAACAGUAAAAAAUAUGCACGGGAAAAACAUGAAAGAGUAGGAUAACAAAUGAUUUGCCUUCUCUAAGACCAAAAUUUGUACACUAAUAACAUUUAUAUAAAAAUAUAAAAGAGAAAUGAAAUAGAAAUAAACACAAUAUCAUAUAAAAUAUCAAUUUUGGUGUACAAAUAAGUAAGCAAUCAACAUGGGAUUGGUGUAGUGGUUUAAGGCACUGCUAGAUCAUGAGGAUGACUAAAAGAUUAAAAGCUCGAUUCAUGGGAGCAAAACUUGUUGGGAAGGGAAGUCACAAACCCAAAAAUGAAUUAGUUCUUUACCUAUAAGGUGAUGGAAUAUCAUUGGUAGUACCAAAAAAAGUAAGUUAGGUAACCAACUAGCUAAUCGGGUGAAACAUGCACUUUAUAUAGUGACAUUUUACUUUUUUGGUGCAACGAAGAGUAUCAUUCACCCUUUAGGUUUAUACAAGUCAAUGCAUCAUCUACCAUUCAUGUUCAAUCACAAUUGACUGUUCAAGCAUGUAAUAAAAAUGAAUGAUAAAUAAUAUAUUGAAUGUGUAUAUAUCUUUACACCAAUAGUGCCUAGAUAAUGCACUUAUGAAUUUAAUGUAUUUUUUAUCUCUCAAUACAUUCAUAAUUGAAGUGUGAAAAUUUUAAUUCUUAUCAUUUACUAUUGUGAAAUUUUUAAUUCUUAUCAUUUACUAUUUUUACUUUAAUUUGAGGUACUACAUAUUUAACACAUUUUUAUAUCUUAGUGGGGCCAAAUAUGUAUUUCUUGAUUUGAGCAAUACUAUCACUAACAAAACAUGAGACACACUUUAAUUUCCCUCCACAAAAAAUGAAAAGUAUUCGAUUUGAAUAUUUAACAAUUAACAAUAAAACAAUAUGCCUGGGGAAUAAACGAAGGAGUAUGAUUUCAAAUGUUUUGCCUUCCCCAAGACCAAAAUUUGUAUACUCAUAACAUGUAUAUAAAAUAAAAAAGAGAAAUGAAACAUAAACAAACACAAUAUCAUAUAAAAUAUCAUUUUUGGUGUACAAAUAAGUAAGCAAUCAACGUGGUAUUGGUGUAGUGGUGCAAUGCCCGAUUAGAUCAGCGGGAUGACCAAAAGAUUAUAUGUUCAGCGAAACUUCUUGAGAGGGGCAGUCACGAACCCCAAAAAGUAUUAGUUCUUUACUUGUAAUGUGAGGGAAUAUCCUUGAUAACUAAAAAAGGAAGUUAGGUAACCAACUAGCUAUAAGGCGAAACAAGCACUUUAUAAAGUGACAUUUUACGAUUUGAAAAGUCAAUUGUGAUUAAAGGUGGUCAUUCAACCGCAUUUUUUAGAACAAAACUUUUAAAAACAAGGCAGAAGAUAACCAAUAACGCUCAUUAAAACAAACACUUUUAUAUUAAAUAGGCGGAUAUAACAUCAACACCUCAAUCAUGAACGAGCAUUAUUGAAUUAGCAUUGGCUUGAAUGAGUAUUUUUUAACAACACACCAUUAACCAAGUGCUGUUAAUUUAUAUCAAAUCAACAGCGCAAUAUUUAGAGAGCUUUGUUGAAUAUAACAUAGUAACAACACUUUCUUAAAUGAGCAAUGUUGCUAGGAUACGACAUUUAAGCAUCAAAAGUUGCUUAAAGAGCGUUGUUGAAGAUGACAUAUCAAUAACAUUCUCUUGAGUGAACGUUGUUGAAGUUGUAAUAUCAACAAUGCUCUCUUGAUUAGCAUUGUUGAAGAUGUCAUAUUAACAAAACUUUCUUAAAUGUAAGCUAUUGAUUUGAUAUAGUGUUUAAAUAUGAGAAAAAUUAAUAGUGGAGUAUUUGACCUAAACGAUAUUCUCUCAUUUAUACGUCUAUUUGUUUCUAUGCAUAUUCUUUGUUUCGUUGCUUCUUGAUAUGAGUUGCACAUGUGCCAAUGAUAAUCUUGAAAUUUUGGCAACAUAUAUAAGUGUUUAAUUUGUGGUAAUCUUAAAAAAUUUGCUCUUGUUUUACAAUAUAUCUCAUUAAAUAUUCCUCAUGGUGUACUAAUAUGUGUAUGUGAUUUUUAGAAUAUAUGUGUUGUUGAUAAUUGUAUAUGCAUGAAACAAUAAUGCAUGCUCUAUGGCAAGUGUUGUUGUAUUAAUAAUAUACAACAACGUCCUUUUAUACGAUGUUGUUGCAUAUGAUUAAUACAACAAUGCUAACAUAUAAUAACACUCAUUGGAGGUAGUGUUGUUGUAUAUAAGACAUACAACAGCACCUGUAUAAGUGUUGUUAAAGCAUGUCGUAUUCUACUAUGCUUAAAUAGACAACGCUCAAAAGUGUUGUUAUAUAUCUAAAAUACACGCUUUUAAACUACAACUCUGUCGUAGUGGAUAUUCACUUUAUGCAUUUGAGUGGAUAGAGAUUUACGGUGCAGAGUUAGAAAUACAUAUUAUUUUUGGUUCUGGCCGUCCUCGGAUGCUUUUGCCUUGUCACGAAGCAUCUCGCUAAAAUUCCUCAUUAUGGAGUAAGAUGAUUAGUAUGAGAAUAUAUUAUUUUUUUAUUACAAUAAUUGUGUUUGGAAGAAUUGUUGAUGAAUGGUUUGCGGUUUAUGAAAAUUGAGUUUUUUUGUACAAUCAAUGGUAAUCCCUCGCCUUUAAUUAUAUAUAAUUAAUGAUAAAAAAAUAUUAACUAUGUAUGAAAUCACCCGUUCAGAUCAGACGGUUUAAUAACAUUGGUCAUUACUUCAAAUUCGUUUAAAAUUCAUCAAAUCUCAUUUAAAGGGAAUCAAAUAAUUAUUGUAAUUAUCAAAUAAUUGUUGUAAUUAUCAAAUACUGUAAUGGAUUAUUCCUUUAAUUUUCUUAUAUGUUUUUAAAAAUUAAUGUCAAAUUAUUUCCUUACCAUAUUUUUGAACAUUAAUCUGAUAUGAGUAUCGUACAUCAUAAAUGAUUUUGAAGGACCAAGUUUUACGGUACUAAUUUUAGUACUAUAUGAUUUCAUAACUUCUCUUGUUACAGUUUUGCAUAAAUCAAAAAUAUAUUAGAUACUCUAAAUUUUAGUGAAAUAUAUUUAAUUAAAACAUACAUACUAUACAUAUACUACUAUAUCUAACGUGUAAAAACAUAAAUAUUAGUUAGACUAAACAAUAGUAUAUUGUAAACCAACAGAAAAAAUAAAUCUAAUUUUAUCCUAAACGUGAACACAAAGAAUAAUAGUUACUCAAAUCAUUAUAAACAAUUGUCUAUGUAUCCAAGAGAUAGAACCUAACAUAAACUUCCACAUGAAUAUCUUAUCAGACAGAUUACCCAUAAAUGGCAUAACCAUGUCAAUAAUGAUGGAGUUAUGAAGAAAAUGUGAGCUAUAUGAAGAGUUGAUUGAUGGAGUUAUAAAGAAAAUGUGGGUUAAGAAGAGUGAUUUUUGGAGUCUUUUAUCUUGCAUGAAGUAGGGAGCUUUUAGAGGAAAAUUUUGCAUAAGGUGUUGACUGCUAACACAUGUACCCAGCUGAUGUGACAAUAGAGGUUAUAUGUGUAUUCGCACGAGACGUUAUCAAUAAUUUUGGACACUAAAAUUAGAAAAAAAAACACUACAAUGCUCCCUACAUCACCUGGAGAUAGAUGAUUGUAACAUAUUGGUUAUUCAAAUCAAAAUUAUUAUAAACAAAAUCCAAUUAGAAAAAAAAAUGAAAUAAAAAAAGUCAAUAAAAAAAAUUAAAGAAUAAAUAUAAAAAUGUAGUAAAGAAUCAGAAAAAUGGGUUUGUUAAACAAUAACAUAAACAAGGAAAAAACGAUAGUGGUAGAAAAGAUUUAACAAUAAAUAGAUAUAGUAUUUAUCCUGAAAAGGAACUACUCCACCCCUAUUAUAUGUCUUAAACAAAUAAGAAUGGAUGACAAUUUGCACAUAUAUUUGAGUAUCCAUGUGGGACUGUCCUUUAAGAUAUGGACAAGACCAAGAAGAUUAUACCUAUAAUAUUUUUAAUAAAUAUCUAUAAGUUUAUAGAGAAUUGUGUAUUAUUUAUAAAUUGUCAGUAUAAAAAUUUAUACAUUAUCCAUUAUCCAUCAUUCAUUUGUAUUACUUUAGAUAACAAAAAACAAUAUUGGUGGAAGGCUCUUUGGUUUCCCACUGGACCAUUUGGCACAUAAGGAACAAAUACAUUUUUAAUAAUAUGAGGUUCAAUUUAGAUGAUAUGAUGAAACUUAUUUUUUUGAAUUCUUUAAGCAUUCUCAACGCUCGCUUUUCAUUGUUCUCUUAUUCUUUUAUCGAUUGGGUGAGAUACCCUUCAAAUUGUCUAUCUCUUUGUUAAUUAUGGGAUUGUAUGAAUAGGAGUAUCAUUUGUUCUCCUAAUUACUUUAUCUCUUGUUUAAUAAAGAUUUCAUUGUUGAUAAAAAAAUAACUAGUUAAGUGUGUGGAAUAAAUUAAAGUAUAUUUAGAUUGAUUUUGAAUUUGAGUUUCUGGAAUCCGUCAUUUAUUUUGAAAACAAAUAUAUCUGCCAAUUAUAAUGGUCAUAGAGAAGAAAUUAUACAAUUUUAUAUACUCCCUAAAGGAUUUCCACUAAAUAUGGUAUAUCAUAUGGAGUCAAGUCAAGUAGUAUAAGAGUCAAAUGAUAUUUAUGUUUUGGUCUUUUAAAAAAUAUAUCAAUAAUUUUAAAGAUGUAUUAUUUUAAUAAAUAAAAAAGAGAAGAGUGAUUUCAUAAUCAAAUUCUCUAUAUAAAUUUAUAAUUUAUCAAUAAUCCUACCUAAUGUAUAAUGAAUUAAUUAUGAGAAAAUUACAGUGACACCCCUUCAAAUUUAACUUUAUUAUAUUGAUCAUCUUUUUUUUUGUCUAAAAAUUACAUUCAUCUCUCUUAUAGAGGUGAUCAGUUUAACAUAUAUCAAUUGAGACCAAAUUAUUAUGCAAGUGCAAAAAUUGAGAAAAAUUUAUAAAAUUUCACUAAAAUUUAGGGAUUAUUAAUGUAAUUUAAUCAUAAACAAAAUUAUGACCUUGAUUGCACCAUUAACACCAGAUCAAGAUCUAUAAAAAUGUUAAAACACCCUAAAAAAUAAAAUUAAAAAAUAAACAUGUUAAUCUGCCAAUCAAUUCAGAUAAUUUCUUUAACAUAAACUUAUAUAAUUCAUAUUUUAUACUUUUUCCAUUAUAUCAUCAUUCAUACUUUCUCAAGCAAAUAUCACAACUCCAUUAUUUCCUUAUACAUAUAUGCUCAGUAACAAGUAACAGGCUAUAGAUAAAUUCUUAAAUAAAUACCCCACACACCAUAUUCAACUAUAUUAUAUUAAUACCCUUGCAAGGGUUAAGUGACCUAUUUAAGGGUAUGUAUGGUGGUUAACAAGUUGGGAAGGGAACCCCACAAGAGGAAGUGACCUUUCUAGCACCAGGAGAGUUAACAUACUGUCUCAAGUUAGGGUCUUGAAGGUACCCACAUAAGCAUGGUAUUUGUUCUCUCAACUUCUGACAACAAAUGCUUGGAGGUGGAAUAUUUGAAGUAAUUGCUUGAAGACAAGGGCUUAACUCCACUGGGUUACAAUUCACAGCAUCAACUUUGAAGGACAAUUCCACAAGAAGCAGUAACACUAGCACCAUUCCACACACAACAUAGACCUUCUUCAUCAUUGUUCUUUGUCUUUGUCUUUGUCUUUUGUGACUACACACAACACAAGUGUUUGUUUAAUAACUCAGUGUAGGGAUGAGUUGAAAGUGAGAUUCAGAGGCAGAUUAUAUAAGCUGAGGGUAGAGGGUUUGAUUUGGUGUUCAAUAAAUGAUCAAAUUGUUUAUUGAUGAAUGCAUUAAAGGCUAUGGUCCCACAAAGACUUG
This 7909-nucleotide long non-coding RNA is filed under the name Lupinus angustifolius (narrow-leaved blue lupine). RNAcentral's name for it is "long non-coding RNA (LANG_LNC001321)". Lineage: Eukaryota; Viridiplantae; Streptophyta; Magnoliopsida; Fabales; Fabaceae. The record is from RNAcentral.